RNAcentral lists this ribosomal RNA (434 nucleotides) under uncultured bacterium. Its description in RNAcentral is "partial 16S ribosomal RNA". It matches the Rfam family "Bacterial small subunit ribosomal RNA", at positions 29 to 507 of the family's 1533-position model. The record is from RNAcentral.
GCGAACGCUGGCGGCAGGCUUAACACAUGCAAGUCGAGCGGGCGUAGCAAUACGUCAGCGGCAGACGGGUGAGUAACGCGUGGGAACGUACCUUUUGGUUCGGAACAACACAGGGAAACUUGUGCUAAUACCGGAUAAGCCCUUACGGGGAAAGAUUUAUCGCCGAAAGAUCGGCCCGCGUCUGAUUAGCUAGUUGGUGAGGUAACGGCUCACCAAGGCGACGAUCAGUAGCUGGUCUGAGAGGAUGAUCAGCCACAUUGGGACUGAGACACGGCCCAAACUCCUACGGGAGGCAGCAGUGGGGAAUAUUGGACAAUGGGGGCAACCCUGAUCCAGCCAUGCCGCGUGAGUGAUGAAGGCCCUAGGGUUGUAAAGCUCUUUUGUGCGGGAAGAUAAUGACGGUACCGCAAGAAUAAGCCCCGGCUAACUUCGUG